CCUUACGGCCAUACCAACCUGAAAGCGCCCGAUCUCGUCAGAUCUCGGAAGCUAAGCAAGGUCGGGCCUGGUUAGUACUUGGAUGGGAGACUUCCUGGGAAUACCAGGUGCUGUAAGCA
Molecule: ribosomal RNA, 119 nt
Filed under: Hucho hucho (huchen)
Lineage: Eukaryota; Metazoa; Chordata; Actinopteri; Salmoniformes; Salmonidae
Source: RNAcentral